RNAcentral lists this ribosomal RNA (322 nucleotides) under uncultured bacterium. RNAcentral describes it as "bacterial SSU rRNA". It matches the Rfam family "Bacterial small subunit ribosomal RNA", at positions 28 to 334 of the family's 1533-position model. The record is from RNAcentral.
GAUGAACGCUGGCGGCGUGCUUAACACAUGCAAGUCGAACGGGAAUUACUUUAUUGAAGCUUCGGUCGAUUUAAUUUAAUUCUAGUGGCGGACGGGUGAGUAACGCGUGGGUAACCUGCCUUAUACAGGGGGAUAACAGUCAGAAAUGGCUGCUAAUACCGCAUAAGCGCACAGAGCUGCAUGGCUCAGUGUGAAAACUCCGGUGGUAUAAGAUGGACCCGCGUUGGACUAGCUGGUUGGUGGGGUAACGGCCCACCAAGGCGACGAUCCAUAGCCGGCCUGAGAGGGUGAACGGCCACAUUGGGACUGAGACACGGCCCAG